Physeter macrocephalus (sperm whale) is the source of this 355-nucleotide long non-coding RNA. RefSeq lists it as uncharacterized. The transcript has 3 exons. The record is from RefSeq and is a predicted model, not a curated record. NCBI's taxonomy places the organism in Eukaryota, Metazoa, Chordata, Mammalia, Artiodactyla, Physeteridae.
GACACACUGAGAAGACAACCAGGAACGGGGCUCUCACCAGACACGGGAUCUGCUGGCGCCUGGAUCCUGAACUUCCAGCUUCCAGAACUGUUGUUUCCUCCGCACGGGCAAUUCAGCCCCCGGGAUGAGCUUCCAAAGAGCAAGAGCCCAGCACCCGCCUCCACCAGACGCCGUGAUCCCAGCUGAGUGGGCGGGGCUGCCAGUGAGGAAGUUUGAGGGCGUCAGUCUGCCUUCCCACCAGGUUCUCCACUCGUGCUCCAUACCCGAACAAGAGGAACGCAUACAGCUUUAUUUAAUGUAAGCUUUAUGUGACGUGGGAGCCUUCAUAAGGAAAUGAAGACUCAAAGAAACGGUG